Molecule: ribosomal RNA, 895 nt
Filed under: uncultured Gammaproteobacteria bacterium
Lineage: Bacteria; Pseudomonadati; Pseudomonadota; Gammaproteobacteria
Description: bacterial SSU rRNA
Rfam family: Bacterial small subunit ribosomal RNA
Source: RNAcentral
GCAGUCGAGCGGUAACAGGUGUAGCAAUACAUGCUGACGAGCGGCGGACGGGUGAGUAACGCUUGGGAAUCUGCCUGUUAGUGGGGGACAACCCGGGGAAACUCGGGCUAAUACCGCAUACGCACUACGGUGGAAAGCCGGGGACCGCAAGGCCUGGCGCUAACAGAUGAGCCCAAGUCGGAUUAGCUAGUUGGUAGGGUAACGGCCUACCAAGGCGACGAUCCGUAACUGGUCUGAGAGGACGACCAGUCACACCGGAACUGAGACACGGUCCGGACUCCUACGGGAGGCAGCAGUGGGGAAUAUUGGACAAUGGGCGAAAGCCUGAUCCAGCGACGCCGCGUGGGUGAAGAAGGCCUGCGGGUUGUAAAGCCCUUUCGGUGGGGAAGAAAAGCCUCGAGUUAACACCUCGGGGUCUUGACGUAACCCAUAGAAGAAGCACCGGCUAACUCUGUGCCAGCAGCCGCGGUAAUACAGAGGGUGCGAGCGUUAAUCGGAAUUACUGGGCGUAAAGCGCGCGUAGGCGGCUUUGCAAGUCGGGUGUGAAAUCCCCAGGCUUAACCUGGGAACUGCAUUCGAGACUGCAUUGCUAGAGUAUGGGAGAGGGAAGUGGAAUUUCCGGUGUAGCGGUGAAAUGCGUAGAUAUCGGAAGGAACAUCAGUGGCGAAAGCGACUUCCUGGACCAAUACUGACGCUCAUGUGCGAAAGCGUGGGGAGCAAACAGGAUUAGAUACCCUGGUAGUCCACGCCAUAAACGAUGACAACUGGAUGUCGGGAGGGUCUGCCUCUCGGUGUCGUAGCUAACGCGUUAAGUUGUCCGCCUGGGGAGUACGGCCGCAAGGUUGAACUCAAAGGAAUUGACGGGGACCGCACAAGCGGUGGAGCAUGUGGUUUA